This 110-nucleotide small nucleolar RNA is filed under the name Oryza sativa (Asian cultivated rice). RNAcentral describes it as "partial F2 Small nucleolar RNA". It matches the Rfam family "Small nucleolar RNA F1/F2/snoR5a", at positions 1 to 110 of the family's 140-position model. From Rfam's summary of the family: This family contains F1, F2 and snoR5a sequences, all of which are members of the the H/ACA class of snoRNA that guide the sites of modification of uridines to pseudouridines. The record is from RNAcentral. Lineage: Eukaryota; Viridiplantae; Streptophyta; Magnoliopsida; Poales; Poaceae.
UUGUGCCAUUUGGUAUCUGACUCAUUGUCUACUUUUGUGACUAUGUGUCUCGAAAUAUGGCAUAUAAUAAGGGGUAACGGAUCUUGCGACAUUGAUGGCUCCUGUAUGAG